UACUUUAAAGCUAGGCUUAAAAAA
Molecule: ribosomal RNA, 24 nt
Filed under: Xenurolebias myersi
Lineage: Eukaryota; Metazoa; Chordata; Actinopteri; Cyprinodontiformes; Rivulidae
Description: partial 16S ribosomal RNA
Source: RNAcentral